UACACAUCUCAGCGUGCUAACAACACUCAGAGGUCACAGUUGAUGUAGUACAUCACAUCUUAAACACAUGUAGAAUUUUUAUGCACCAGCUAAAAAGGUUGAUUAUCCAGACAAGCUGCACUGUGAAGAGCCACCUGAUCACUUCAGUAUGUGUUAUGCAG
This is a long non-coding RNA of Alexandromys fortis (reed vole), 161 nucleotides long. RefSeq lists it as uncharacterized. Lineage: Eukaryota; Metazoa; Chordata; Mammalia; Rodentia; Cricetidae. The transcript has 3 exons. The record is from RefSeq and is a predicted model, not a curated record.